RNAcentral lists this ribosomal RNA (166 nucleotides) under uncultured bacterium. RNAcentral's name for it is "partial 16S rRNA". It matches the Rfam family "Bacterial small subunit ribosomal RNA", at positions 355 to 511 of the family's 1533-position model. The record is from RNAcentral.
UAGGGAAUCUUCGGCAAUGGACGAAAGUCUGACCGAGGCAACGCCGCGUGAGUGAAGAAGGUUUUCGGAUCGUAAAACUCUGUUGGUAGAGAAGAACGUUGGUGAGAGUGGAAAGCUCAUCAAGUGACGGUAACUACCCAGAAAGGGACGGCUAACUACGUGCCAU